GGGUUGUGAGGUUAAGCGACUAAGCGUACACGGUGGAUGCCCUGGCAGUCAGAGGCGAUGAAGGACGUGCUAAUCUGCGAUAAGCGUCGGUAAGGUGAUAUGAACCGUUAUAACCGGCGAUUUCCGAAUGGGGAAACCCAGUGUGUUUCGACACACUAUCAUUAACUGAAUCCAUAGGUUAAUGAGGCGAACCGGGGGAACUGAAACAUCUAAGUACCCCGAGGAAAAGAAAUCAACCGAGAUUCCCCCAGUAGCGGCGAGCGAACGGGGAGCAGCCCAGAGCCUGAAUCAGUGUGUGUGUUAGUGGAAGCGUCUGGAAAGGCGCGCGAUACAGGGUGACAGCCCCGUACACAAAAAUGCACAUAUUGUGAGCUCGAUGAGUAGGGCGGGACACGUGGUAUCCUGUCUGAAUAUGGGGGGACCAUCCUCCAAGGCUAAAUACUCCUGACUGACCGAUAGUGAACCAGUACCGUGAGGGAAAGGCGAAAAGAACCCCGGCGAGGGGAGUGAAAAAGAACCUGAAACCGUGUACGUACAAGCAGUGGGAGCACGCUUCGGCGUGUGACUGCGUACCUUUUGUAUAAUGGGUCAGCGACUUAUAUUCUGUAGCAAGGUUAACCGAAUAGGGGAGCCGAAGGGAAACCGAGUCUUAACUGGGCGUUAAGUUGCAGGGUAUAGACCCGAAACCCGGUGAUCUAGCCAUGGGCAGGUUGAAGGUUGGGUAACACUAACUGGAGGACCGAACCGACUAAUGUUGAAAAAUUAGCGGAUGACUUGUGGCUGGGGGUGAAAGGCCAAUCAAACCGGGAGAUAGCUGGUUCUCCCCGAAAGCUAUUUAGGUAGCGCCUCGUGAAUUCAUCUCCGGGGGUAGAGCACUGUUUCGGCAAGGGGGUCAUCCCGACUUACCAACCCGAUGCAAACUGCGAAUACCGGAGAAUGUUAUCACGGGAGACACACGGCGGGUGCUAACGUCCGUCGUGAAGAGGGAAACAACCCAGACCGCCAGCUAAGGUCCCAAAGUCAUGGUUAAGUGGGAAACGAUGUGGGAAGGCCCAGACAGCCAGGAUGUUGGCUUAGAAGCAGCCAUCAUUUAAAGAAAGCGUAAUAGCUCACUGGUCGAGUCGGCCUGCGCGGAAGAUGUAACGGGGCUAAACCAUGCACCGAAGCUGCGGCAGCGACGCUUAUGCGUUGUUGGGUAGGGGAGCGUUCUGUAAGCCUGUGAAGGUGUGCUGUGAGGCAUGCUGGAGGUAUCAGAAGUGCGAAUGCUGACAUAAGUAACGAUAAAGCGGGUGAAAAGCCCGCUCGCCGGAAGACCAAGGGUUCCUGUCCAACGUUAAUCGGGGCAGGGUGAGUCGACCCCUAAGGCGAGGCCGAAAGGCGUAGUCGAUGGGAAACAGGUUAAUAUUCCUGUACUUGGUGUUACUGCGAAGGGGGGACGGAGAAGGCUAUGUUGGCCGGGCGACGGUUGUCCCGGUUUAAGCGUGUAGGCUGGUUUUCCAGGCAAAUCCGGAAAACUAAGGCUGAGGCGUGAUGACGAGGCACUACGGUGCUGAAGCGACAAAUGCCCUGCUUCCAGGAAAAGCCUCUAAGCAUCAGGUAACAUCAAAUCGUACCCCAAACCGACACAGGUGGUCAGGUAGAGAAUACCAAGGCGCUUGAGAGAACUCGGGUGAAGGAACUAGGCAAAAUGGUGCCGUAACUUCGGGAGAAGGCACGCUGAUAUGUAGGUGAAGCGACUUGCUCGUGGAGCUGAAAUCAGUCGAAGAUACCAGCUGGCUGCAACUGUUUAUUAAAAACACAGCACUGUGCAAACACGAAAGUGGACGUAUACGGUGUGACGCCUGCCCGGUGCCGGAAGGUUAAUUGAUGGGGUUAGCGGUAACGCGAAGCUCUUGAUCGAAGCCCCGGUAAACGGCGGCCGUAACUAUAACGGUCCUAAGGUAGCGAAAUUCCUUGUCGGGUAAGUUCCGACCUGCACGAAUGGCGUAAUGAUGGCCAGGCUGUCUCCACCCGAGACUCAGUGAAAUUGAACUCGCUGUGAAGAUGCAGUGUACCCGCGGCAAGACGGAAAGACCCCGUGAACCUUUACUAUAGCUUGACACUGAACAUUGAGCCUUGAUGUGUAGGAUAGGUGGGAGGCUUUGAAGUGUGGACGCCAGUCUGCAUGGAGCCGACCUUGAAAUACCACCCUUUAAUGUUUGAUGUUCUAACGUGGACCCGUAAUCCGGGUUGCGGACAGUGUCUGGUGGGUAGUUUGACUGGGGCGGUCUCCUCCUAAAGAGUAACGGAGGAGCACGAAGGUUGGCUAAUCCUGGUCGGACAUCAGGAGGUUAGUGCAAUGGCAUAAGCCAGCUUGACUGCGAGCGUGACGGCGCGAGCAGGUGCGAAAGCAGGUCAUAGUGAUCCGGUGGUUCUGAAUGGAAGGGCCAUCGCUCAACGGAUAAAAGGUACUCCGGGGAUAACAGGCUGAUACCGCCCAAGAGUUCAUAUCGACGGCGGUGUUUGGCACCUCGAUGUCGGCUCAUCACAUCCUGGGGCUGAAGUAGGUCCCAAGGGUAUGGCUGUUCGCCAUUUAAAGUGGUACGCGAGCUGGGUUUAGAACGUCGUGAGACAGUUCGGUCCCUAUCUGCCGUGGGCGCUGGAGAACUGAGGGGGGCUGCUCCUAGUACGAGAGGACCGGAGUGGACGCAUCACUGGUGUUCGGGUUGUCAUGCCAAUGGCACUGCCCGGUAGCUAAAUGCGGAAGAGAUAAGUGCUGAAAGCAUCUAAGCACGAAACUUGCCCCGAGAUGAGUUCUCCCUGACCCUUUAAGGGUCCUGAAGGAACGUUGAAGACGACGACGUUCAU
Molecule: ribosomal RNA, 2847 nt
Filed under: Escherichia sp. E1V33
Lineage: Bacteria; Pseudomonadati; Pseudomonadota; Gammaproteobacteria; Enterobacterales; Enterobacteriaceae
Description: partial 23S ribosomal RNA
Rfam family: Bacterial large subunit ribosomal RNA
Source: RNAcentral